CAAUACGUUAGUGGCGCACGGGUGAGUAACACGUGGGAACCUAUCUUUCGGUUCGGAAAAACGGAGGGAAACUUCCGCUAAUACCGUAUACGCCCUUAGGGGGAAAGAUUUAUCGCCGAUUGAGGGGCCCGCGUCUGAUUAGCUAGUUGGUGAGGUAAAGGCUCACCAAGGCGACGAUCAGUAGCUGGUCUGAGAGGACGAUCAGCCACACUGGGACUGAGACACGGCCCAGACUCCUACGGGAGGCAGCAGUGGGGAAUAUUGGACAAUGGGGGCAACCCUGAUCCAGCCAUGCCGCGUGAGUGAUGAAGGCCUUCGGGUUGCAAAGCUCUUUCGCACGCGACGAUGAUGACGGUAGCGUGAGAAGAAGCCCCGGCUAACUUCGUGCCAGCAGCCGCGGUAAUACGAAU
RNAcentral lists this ribosomal RNA (410 nucleotides) under uncultured Magnetospirillum sp. Its description in RNAcentral is "bacterial SSU rRNA". It matches the Rfam family "Bacterial small subunit ribosomal RNA", at positions 85 to 530 of the family's 1533-position model. Lineage: Bacteria; Pseudomonadati; Pseudomonadota; Alphaproteobacteria; Rhodospirillales; Rhodospirillaceae. The record is from RNAcentral.